GCGCCGACACCUUGAAGUUCACUGUGUAGGGCAACAUCCCGGCGGCCAGCCCAGGACCUGGGCGCUGACCCGCAACCAGGAAGCGGCGGACACUGUGCUUCCGUUCCAAACAGAGUCCGGGUGGCCCCCUCGGCGCCGCUGUCAGGUUCCUCUAGAUUCAAGUUCUACAGGCUCCGGGUUCCACCGCUCCCGGAUUCCAUCGCCCCCAGGUUCCGUUGCCUUCAGUUUCCUAGGAUCCUAGGUUCCGCACUCUCCAGAGUUCCGCCGCUUAGGCGGUUGUGCUAAUCUGCGUCAGCUGGGGCUGUAUUUGGAAGAAGAGGCGCUGCCUCCAGUCAAGUCUGUUUUUUUCAGAGGAAGUUAUUGUCCCAAAGUUGUGUGUCAUGCCCGAAGUGUCUGGGAUCCCCGAGUGCCUGUGGUGCCCAAGAGCUAUGAAUCUGCUAUCAUCAACACAGAGGGUACCUUCUGAAUGGGCUAUGUCUACAGUGAUGCUGCAAAUGGAAGCUAACCCUAGGAUGACUGGCCUCUGACACUUGAGCCAUCCCAUCAUCUGUCAUGGGUUGACCCAUCCAUCCCCUCAAUGAGCCUGACCUUCAGGACCACUGACAGAGGAGCAGUCAAUAGAAAUUAAUUGUUAAAUACCCAGAAAAUCUGAAAUGGUAUUUAAUAUGCAGUUCAUCAAGAGCAAAAGUUCCUUAAAUCUUCAUCUAGAAAAGUUAUUUAUAAGGGAUGAAUAUGUUGUAUGAAUAUGUUGUAUGCAAAUAUUAUAUUCAAGGGCAAGACCAUGAAAACAGUUUAAGAAUCCGACAGGGAAUUAGAUAAAGACAUCGGAGUGCACUUGUCAAAAUACAGCUAUCAAGAAUGAUGAUGUUGAAAAAUAGUUUAGCAAUAUAAUUGUCUAGAACCACAGGGAGUCUGAGAUUUUACCCAACUUGUGAGUUAACAACUCUGCUAUAGCUUCAUGAAAGAAGACACAAGACUCCUGGGUCAGGAACAAAGGUCUCUAAUACUCACAGCAAUAUCAGGAGCCAGAAUUUCAGGAUCCUUUUUCCUGCCAGUUUCUCAAGUCCUAAUUACCACCGAGUUACAGGAAAGGGCCAGGUAACACUAGCACUGCCAUCAGUGGCUGUAUUACAGAACAGGAACUCCAAGCUUAGGAAACCCAAAUCUUUUAUAGUUAACAAUGAACACAUCUGCCAUUGUUCUGAAGGGAGACGCUACCCCAAUCUUCCACACCUGUUCACUAUAUAAAUAUCUGUGAAAAGAUAGACAGAAAAAUAGGUGGAGAAUGCCUCUGCUCACAAGAUGUGCAGAAACGUGAGAGGCUCAUGGAGAACUGUUUCCCUACAAUGACAAAAUGCUGACGAUAUAUUGUUAUGUAAAAUAAAGCAGGCAUUUUUCACCUCA
Homo sapiens (human) is the source of this 1404-nucleotide long non-coding RNA. Ensembl annotates it as WDR11 divergent transcript. Its record names the gene WDR11-DT. The record is from Ensembl. Lineage: Eukaryota; Metazoa; Chordata; Mammalia; Primates; Hominidae.